This is a long non-coding RNA of Apis mellifera (honey bee), 571 nucleotides long. RefSeq lists it as uncharacterized. The transcript has 3 exons. Lineage: Eukaryota; Metazoa; Arthropoda; Insecta; Hymenoptera; Apidae. The record is from RefSeq and is a predicted model, not a curated record.
UAAAGGGUUGCAAACGAGAAAUCGAAUAAAAUAAUAAGAUGGUAUGUGCAGUGAUUAUACCGAAGAUAUUACGCUAUGGCGGAAAUUUAAAAUGGGACGAGAAAUAUUUUUCCCCGUCGUCCAUUUAAAUAAAUUUCAUGAAUAUCGUAAUUAAAAUUACACGAAUAUAUCCCGUUAAACAUGUCGCUCGAUAUUCGACUAGAAUUCUAUUUUGUUUGGUGCAAUAGACACGCGAUAAUGAACACGCAAUUACUGAGGUAAUCAAUUCGUCGGUUUCUGAUCUCUCCUCGAUGGAAGAUGAUUGAAUUACUCUUACUUACUGAUUGCCAAUUAACACUUUGUCCGGCUUGUGUCCGGCUACGAGUUUAGAUUCAAAGGAAGAAUCAAAUUCGUCGUUUUCGAAAAAAACGAAGGCGUAACGUUUCAACGCCAUCCCAAACACUUGCGUGAAUCCUACAUACGAGAUUCGAAAAGGAAUGAAAAGCCUGGGGCAAACACACGAAUACGAUGUUAGAACGUUUCUCGGGGAAACGGUGGACACAAAAGAAACACGAAACGGCACUCCACCAGA